Molecule: non-coding RNA, 45 nt
Filed under: Schistosoma haematobium
Lineage: Eukaryota; Metazoa; Platyhelminthes; Trematoda; Strigeidida; Schistosomatidae
Source: RNAcentral
AUCCAGCUGAUGAGUGCCAGAUAAGACGAAAUAUGCAUCCUGGAC